AUCUACAGCUGUACUACCCUGAACAUGCCCAAUCUCAUCUGAUCUCAAAAGCUAAGCAGAAUCAGGCCUGGUUAGUACUUGGAUGGGAGACCACCUGGGAAUACCGGGUGCCAUAGGAA
Non-coding RNA from Podarcis lilfordi (Lilford's wall lizard), 119 nucleotides. Lineage: Eukaryota; Metazoa; Chordata; Lepidosauria; Squamata; Lacertidae. The record is from the annotation of a GenBank genome assembly.